GAAGGCAGCAGGCGCGCAAAUUACCCAAUAGCAACACGCUGAGGUAGUGACAAUAAAUACUGAUCGGGGGCUCAUUUGGGCCUCCGAAUCGGAAUGAGUACAAUUUAAAUCCCUUAACGAGGAACAAUUGGAGGGCAAGUCUGGUGCCAGCAGCCGCGGUAAUUCCAGCUCCAAUAGCGUAUAUUAAAGUUGUUGCAGUUAAAAAGCUCGUAAUUGAACCUUGGGCUUGGAUGACCGGUCCGCCCCACCGCGUGUACUGGUUCGUCCGAGCCUUUCCUUCUAGGGAACCUCAUGCCCUUCACUGGGUGUGUUUGGGGAACUAGGACUUUUACUUUGAGAAAAUUAGAGUGUUCAAAGCAGGCCUAUGCUCGAAUACUUCAGCAUGGAAUAAUAGAAUAGGACGUGCGUCCUCAUUUUGUUGGUUUCUGAGGAUGCCGUAAUGAUUAAUAGGGAUAGUCGGGGGUGUCAGUAUUCAAUUGUCAGAGGUGAAAUUCUUGGAUUUAUUGAAGACUAACUACUGCGAAAGCAUUCACCAAGGAUGUUUUCAUUAAUCAGUGAACGAAAGUUAGGGGAUCGAAGACGAUCAGAUACCGUCGUAGUCUUAACCAUAAACUAUGCCGACUAGAGAUUGGAUGGUGUUAUUCUAUUGACCCAUUCAGCAUCUUGUGAGAAAUCAAAGUGUGGUUCUGGGGGGAGUAUGGUCGCAAGGCUGAAACUUAAAGAAAUUGACGGAAAGGCACCACAAGGCGUGGAGCCUGCGGCUUAAUUUGACUCAACACGGGGAAACUCACCAGGUCCAGACAUGCGAAGGAUUGACAGAUUGAGAGCUCUUUCUUGAUUGUAUGGUUGGUGGUGCAUGGCCGUUCUUAGUUGGUGGAGUGAUUUGUCUGCU
This 892-nucleotide ribosomal RNA is filed under the name Echinoplaca strigulacea. RNAcentral describes it as "SSU rRNA". It matches the Rfam family "Eukaryotic small subunit ribosomal RNA", at positions 421 to 1319 of the family's 1831-position model. Lineage: Eukaryota; Fungi; Ascomycota; Lecanoromycetes; Ostropales; Graphidaceae. The record is from RNAcentral.